Molecule: ribosomal RNA, 654 nt
Filed under: uncultured euryarchaeote
Lineage: Archaea; Methanobacteriati; Methanobacteriota
Description: bacterial SSU rRNA
Rfam family: Archaeal small subunit ribosomal RNA
Source: RNAcentral
GCGCGAAAAUUCUACAAUGCACGCAAGUGUGAUAGAGGGAUUCAGAGUGCUUCCUGUUUUGCAGGGAGCUUUUCUCAAGUCCAAAUAGCUUGACCCCCUUGCAGGGGGUAUAAGUGUGGAUAGCUUGAGGAAUAAGUGGGGGGUAAGACAGGUGCCAGCCGCCAUUUUGGUCGCUGUCAUUAAACGGUUACCAUAACGGUAAGCGGUAAUACCUGCGCCACGAGUGAUGACCACGUUUAUUGGGCUUAAAGCGUUCGUAGCUGGUUUGGAAAGUCUCUGAUGAAAUCCCAUGGUUGACUAUGGGGCUUGUCAGGGAAACUGCCAGACUUGGGACCGGGAGAGGUCUGGGGUAUUGUAGGGGUAGGGGUUAAACCCUUUUUCCGUGAGAGACAUGCAAAAAGCGUUUACGGAAAAAAGUGACAUUCCUGUAAUCCUUACAAGACCACCUGUGGCGAAGGCGCCAGACUGGAACGGAUCCGACAGUGAGGGACGAAAGCUAGGGGAGCAAAGGGGAUUAGAUACCCCCGUAGUCCUAGCCGUAAACGAUGCCCGUUAGACAUUGGAGCUCUUACGUGGGGCUUCAGAGUCGUAGGGAAACCGUUAAACGGGCCGCCUGGGGAGUACGUUCGCAAGGAUGAAACUUAAGGGAAUUGG